AUUUAAGUAGUUUAAUUAAAAAUAACGUUUUGUGGUAUCGUUGAUAUAAUUCAUUUUAUCUUAAUUA
Molecule: transfer RNA, 67 nt
Filed under: Megaloprepus caerulatus
Lineage: Eukaryota; Metazoa; Arthropoda; Insecta; Odonata; Coenagrionidae
Description: tRNA-His
Source: RNAcentral